RNAcentral lists this ribosomal RNA (468 nucleotides) under uncultured bacterium. Its description in RNAcentral is "partial 16S ribosomal RNA". It matches the Rfam family "Bacterial small subunit ribosomal RNA", at positions 28 to 507 of the family's 1533-position model. The record is from RNAcentral.
GAUGAACGCUGACAGAAUGCUUAACACAUGCAAGUCAACUUGAAUCUGGGUUUUUUAACUUAGAUUUGGGUGGCGGACGGGUGAGUAACGCGUAAAGAACUUGCCUCACAGCUAGGGACAACAUUUGGAAACGAAUGCUAAUACCUGAUAUUAUGAUUAUAAGGCAUCUUAGAAUUAUGAAAGCUAUAUGCGCUGUGAGAGAGCUUUGCGUCCCAUUAGCUAGUUGGAGAGGUAACGGCUCACCAAGGCGAUGAUGGGUAGCCGGCCUGAGAGGGUGAACGGCCACAAGGGGACUGAGACACGGCCCUUGCGCCUACGGGAGGCAGCAGUGGGGAAUAUUGGACAAUGGACCAAGAGUCUGAUCCAGCAAUUCUGUGUGCACGAUGACGUUUUUCGGAAUGUAAAGUGCUUUCAGUUGGGAAGAAAAAAAUGACGGUACCAACAGAAGAAGUGACGGCUAAAUACGUG